UACAGAGGUCUCAAGCGUUGUUCGGAUUCAUUGGGCGUAAAGGGUGUGUAGGUGGCGCCGUAAGUCGGGUGUGAAAUUUCGGAGCUUAACUCCGAAACUGCAUUCGAUACUGCGGUGCUUGAGGACUGGAGAGGAGACUGGAAUUCAUGGUGUAGCAGUGAAAUGCGUAGAGAUCAUGAGGAAGACCAGUGGCGAAGGCGGCACUCUGGGCCGGAACUGACGCUGAGGAGCGAAAGCGUGGGGAGCGAACAGG
RNAcentral lists this ribosomal RNA (253 nucleotides) under uncultured bacterium. Its description in RNAcentral is "partial 16S ribosomal RNA". It matches the Rfam family "Bacterial small subunit ribosomal RNA", at positions 524 to 776 of the family's 1533-position model. The record is from RNAcentral.